CAGGAAGCGGCUCAUCACCAGCUUCAGGUGUUUCUAUUUAUUGGGAGACUGUCUUUCCCUGGCACCAGUUGCAACCAAUUAUUACUUUAGAGAGACAGUUUAACAACUGCCUGACCAUCACCUGAUGGUUGCCUGACAUUCCUGGUAAGAGCCCAGGCCAAAGGACACCUUGAUUUUGACCUUGUCAGACCUGGAAUUGAAAAACCAGCUGCACCCUUCUAGAAUUCUUACUUACAAAACUGAAGAUGUUACAGGACAAAAUGAUUUCACUGGGAGCUGAGUUUUGCCAGAUUUGGGGAAAUACUGAUGCAGAACAUCAUUUAUUGAAGGCUGAUACUUAUGGGUAGAAGAGUCAAAGUGCGAAUAUAUCCACACUUCUCUAUGGAUUCUGCAGAAAGAUAUGCUUGGGUCGUGACUCAGACAAUUUGGAGAGAACUCCCUGAAACAUUCACUGUGUAAUUCUACUUUCUUGAAUACUUACUAUAAUUAAAGUUCAUUUCUGAUUUACAUAAAGA
This 515-nucleotide long non-coding RNA is filed under the name Pongo abelii (Sumatran orangutan). RNAcentral describes it as "lincRNA". The record is from RNAcentral. Lineage: Eukaryota; Metazoa; Chordata; Mammalia; Primates; Hominidae.